Molecule: ribosomal RNA, 493 nt
Filed under: uncultured bacterium
Lineage: Bacteria
Description: bacterial SSU rRNA
Rfam family: Bacterial small subunit ribosomal RNA
Source: RNAcentral
GAUCAUGGCUCAGGAUGAACGCUAGCGGCAGGCUUAACACAUGCAAGUCGAGGGGUAGAAGCAGCUUGCUGCUUUGAGACCGGCGCACGGGUGCGUAACGCGUAUGCAAUCUACCUUUUACAGAGGGAUAGCCCAGAGAAAUUUGGAUUAAUGCCCCAUAGUGUUAUAGAAUCGCAUGGUUUUAUAACUAAAGUUCCAACGGUAUAAGAUGAGCAUGCGUCCCAUUAGUUAGUUGGUAAGGUAACGGCUUACCAAGACAAUGAUGGGUAGGGGUCCUGAGAGGGAGAUCCCCCACACUGGUACUGAGACACGGACCAGACUCCUACGGGAGGCAGCAGUGAGGAAUAUUGGUCAAUGGGCGCAAGCCUGAACCAGCCAUGCCGCGUGCAGGAAGACGGUCCUAUGGAUUGUAAACUGCUUUUAUACAGGAAGAAACCUCCCUACGUGUAGGGACUUGACGGUACUGUAGGAAUAAGGAUCGGCUAACUCCGUG